This 610-nucleotide ribosomal RNA is filed under the name Geastrum sp. Its description in RNAcentral is "partial large subunit ribosomal RNA". It matches the Rfam family "Eukaryotic large subunit ribosomal RNA", at positions 1 to 608 of the family's 3401-position model. The record is from RNAcentral. Lineage: Eukaryota; Fungi; Basidiomycota; Agaricomycetes; Geastrales; Geastraceae.
UUGACCUCAAAUCAGGUAGGACUACCCGCUGAACUUAAGCAUAUCAAUAAGCGGAGGAAAAGAAACUAACAAGGAUUCCCUUAGUAACGGCGAGUGAACAGGGAAAAGCUCAAAUUUUAAAUCUGGCGGCCUUACGGUCGUCCGAGUUGUAAUCUAGAGAAGUGUUUUCCGCGCUGGACCGUGUACAAGUCCUUUGGAACAAGGCGUCAUAGAGGGUGAGAAUCCCGUCUACGACACGGACUACCAGUGCUUUGUGAUACACUCUCAACGAGUCGAGUUGUUUGGGAAUGCAGCUCAAAAUGGGUGGUAAAUUCCAUCUAAAGCUAAAUACAGGCGAAAGACCGAUAGCGAACAAGUACCGUGAGGGAAAGAUGAAAAGCACUUUGGAAAGAGAGUUAAACAGUACGUGAAAUUGUUGAAAGGGAAACGCUUGAAGUCAGUCGCGUCUUCAGAAACUCAGCCUAGCUUUUUUGCUUGGUGUACUUUUCUGUAAGACGGGCCAGCGUCAGUUUUGGCUGUCAGAAAAAGGUGAGAGGAAGGUGGCACCUCCGGGUGUGUUAUAGCCUCUCAUCGUAUGUGACGACCGGGACUGAGGACCGCAGCACGCCUU